ACUCCUACGGGAGGCAGCAGUGGGGAAUCUUGCGCAAUGGGCGAAAGCCUGACGCAGCCAUGCCGCGUGAAUGAUGAAGGUCUUAGGAUUGUAAAAUUCUUUCACCGGGGACGAUAAUGACGGUACCCGGAGAAGAAGCCCCGGCUAACUUCGUGCCAGCAGCCGCGGUAAUACGAAGGGGGCUAGCGUUGCUCGGAAUUACUGGGCGUAAAGGGAGCGUAGGCGGACAUUUAAGUCAGGGGUGAAAUCCCGGGGCUCAACCUCGGAAUUGCCUUUGAUACUGGGUGUCUUGAGUGUGAGAGAGGUAUGUGGAACUCCGAGUGUAGAGGUGAAAUUCGUAGAUAUUCGGAAGAACACCAGUGGCGAAGGCGACAUACUGGCUCAUUACUGACGCUGAGGCUCGAAAGCGUGGGGAGCAAACAGGAUUAGAUACCCUGGUAGCGACUGA
This 448-nucleotide ribosomal RNA is filed under the name uncultured bacterium. RNAcentral describes it as "bacterial SSU rRNA". It matches the Rfam family "Bacterial small subunit ribosomal RNA", at positions 335 to 798 of the family's 1533-position model. The record is from RNAcentral.